This 708-nucleotide long non-coding RNA is filed under the name Phasianus colchicus (ring-necked pheasant). RNAcentral describes it as "lncRNA (ENSPCLG00000021384.1)". Lineage: Eukaryota; Metazoa; Chordata; Aves; Galliformes; Phasianidae. The record is from RNAcentral.
UGUGUCCACACACUCAUGCCUUGUUUCAGGCAAGAAUAGUAAGGAGGUGAAGGAGGAGAGUGCUGAAGAAAGACUGAGGCAGUGGGCGUAUGAAAGAGGCUGCCAGCAGCUCGAGAGGCGCAUUGAAGUGGUGGAAGAUCUCCGGAUUCAAAUUCUGAAGCUGCUGCUGAACAGCUAGGACAGAGGAGGGGUAAGCACUCAGUGGAUCUUUUGCUACAUUAUCUCUGCAUACCACGUAAGGUACAGAAGUGCCACAGCUGAGGAGACGUUCAGUCCUCAGAAGUAGUUCUCUAACUGAUCCAGUCAGGCAGGCUGAACUGCAGAAACUGACUUUUUGGGCUCUGUUUAAAGGGGUAACACGGAAUCACAGAAUCAUAGAUAGUCUCAGAUGCUUUGCCAGUGUUGACUGAUGACAUGAGCUGCACCUGAGCCAGCCUUGUGUUUCUGUUAAACUAGGCAGACACUGUGACCGCAGUGCACUCUACCCUGACAAUUAAUAUUAGUUCCAGAGAGCAAGGAAUGGCAGUUGUGUGAGAAUGUGCCUCUACAGAGCAGGUGGAGAAUGUUCAGCUAGAUAAAGCUGUGCAUCUUCUGGCCAUCAUCAGUGCAUCCCAGUAUGGGCCUCAGAAAGCAGUGACCCACAGGAUACACAUGGGUGCUCCAGCAAGGUGGUAACUGGGUCAACUGUUUUCUCCUGCUGAACGUAGC